GCAGAAUCUUUGAACGACUAGGCCUUGUAAUUGGCCUUGAUUUCCAUUCUAUUAGUCAAAUUGACAAAGUGAGUAUAGAUUCUAGGAAAAGGAUAAGUAGAUGCUACCCUUUGAUCAGAUCAUCAGCAACAACACACUGCAAAACCUUCAUGUGACGAGGCCUGGUUCACCGAGGAUGAUCACGUAACAAUUCAACAGGCAUAAUUUAAAAAGAGGAGGAAAAUCAAAUUCCUGGAAGUAGGAGAGAUGGAGAGUGCACUUGGAAACUGCUUCUCUGGUUGUUCAUGUCCAUCAGUUAUGGACAGUCAAGUGGAAGAACCUUGGAUUUGAAGCUGUUGCCUACAGUGUCAGAGGUCUGUGUGCUCAUUGCCUCAUUUCUCAAGGUCGACCUGGAAAGUUCCUGUCUAUUUUCACAGAAGUAGUCUCCUUCACACAAAAAUUUGGACUCCUUUUAGGAUUUUAUUGUUUUUCAAAGG
This 476-nucleotide long non-coding RNA is filed under the name Heterocephalus glaber (naked mole-rat). RNAcentral describes it as "lncRNA (ENSHGLG00000044395.1)". The record is from RNAcentral. Lineage: Eukaryota; Metazoa; Chordata; Mammalia; Rodentia; Bathyergidae.